Molecule: ribosomal RNA, 253 nt
Filed under: uncultured bacterium
Lineage: Bacteria
Description: partial 16S ribosomal RNA
Rfam family: Bacterial small subunit ribosomal RNA
Source: RNAcentral
UACGUAGGGGGCAAGCGUUGUCCGGAAUCAUUGGGCGUAAAGAGCGUGUAGGCGGCCCGGUAAGUCUGUUGUGAAAGUCCAGGGCUCAACCCUGGAAUGCCGAUGGAUACUGCCGGGCUAGAGUUCGGAAGAGGCAAGUGGAAUUCCUGGUGUAGCGGUGGAAUGCGCAGAUAUCAGGAGGAACACCUAUAGCGAAGGCAGCUCGCUGGGACGACACUGACGCUGAGACGCGAAAGCGUGGGGAGCGAACCGG